CCUACGGGCGGCAGCAGUGGGGGAUAUUGCACAAUGGGGGGAACCCUGAUGCAGCGACGCCGCGUGGGUGAAGAAGCGCCUCGGCGCGUAAAGCCCUGUUAGCAGGGAAGAAAAUGACGGUACCUGAAGAAGAAGCCCCGGCUAACUACGUGCCAGCAGCCGCGGUAAUACGUAGGGGGCAAGCGUUAUCCGGAUUUACUGGGGGUAAAGGGGGCGCAGACGGCGAUGCAAGCCGGGAGGUAAAGCCCGGGGCCCAACCCCGGGACUGCUCUUGGAACUGCGUGGCUGGAGUGGAGGAGGGGCAGGCGGAAUUCGUGGUGUAGCGGUGAAAUGCGUAGAUAUCAGGAGGAACACCGGUGGCGAAGGCGGCCUGCUGGACGGCAACUGACGUUGAGGCCCGAAAGCGUGGGGAGCGAACAGGAUUAGAUACCCGAGUAGUC
Molecule: ribosomal RNA, 440 nt
Filed under: uncultured bacterium
Lineage: Bacteria
Description: partial 16S ribosomal RNA
Rfam family: Bacterial small subunit ribosomal RNA
Source: RNAcentral